UCCAGCUCAGAUUGAACGCUGGCGGCAGGCCUAACACAUGCAAGUCGAGCGGAUGAGAGGAGCUUGCUCCUUGAUUUAGCGGCGGACGGGUGAGUAAUGCCUAGGAAUCUGCCUGGUAGUGGGGGAUAACGUUCCGAAAGGAACGCUAAUACCGCAUACGUCCUACGGGAGAAAGCAGGGGACCUUCGGGCCUUGCGCUAUCAGAUGAGCCUAGGUCGGAUUAGCUAGUUGGUGAGGUAAUGGCUCACCAAGGCGACGAUCCGUAACUGGUCUGAGAGGAUGAUCAGUCACACUGGAACUGAGACACGGUCCAGACUCCUACGGGAGGCAGCAGUGGGGAAUAUUGGACAAUGGGCGAAAGCCUGAUCCAGCCAUGCCGCGUGUGUGAAGAAGGUCUUCGGAUUGUAAAGCACUUUAAGUUGGGAGGAAGGGCAUUAACCUAAUACGUUAGUGUUUUGACGUUACCGACAGAAUAAGCACCGGCUAACUUCGUGCCAGCAGCCGCGGUAAUACGAAGGGUGCAAGCGUUAAUCGGAAUUACUGGGCGUAAAGCGCGCGUAGGUGGUUCGUUAAGUUGGAUGUGAAAGCCCCGGGCUCAACCUGGGAACUGCAUCCAAAACUGGCGAGCUAGAGUACGGUAGAGGGUGGUGGAAUUUCCUGUGUAGCGGUGAAAUGCGUAGAUAUAGGAAGGAACACCAGUGGCGAAGGCGACCACCUGGACUGAUACUGACACUGAGGUCGAAGGACGGG
Molecule: ribosomal RNA, 750 nt
Filed under: uncultured Pseudomonas sp.
Lineage: Bacteria; Pseudomonadati; Pseudomonadota; Gammaproteobacteria; Pseudomonadales; Pseudomonadaceae
Description: bacterial SSU rRNA
Rfam family: Bacterial small subunit ribosomal RNA
Source: RNAcentral